GACGAACGCUGGCGGCGUGCUUAACACAUGCAAGUCGAACGGAAAGGCCCUGCUUUUGUGGGGUGCUCGAGUGGCGAACGGGUGAGUAACACGUGAGUAACCUGCCCUUGACUUUGGGAUAACUUCAGGAAACUGGGGCUAAUACCGGAUAGGAGCUCCUGCUGCAUGGUGGGGGUUGGAAAGUUUCGGCGGUUGGGGAUGGACUCGCGGCUUAUCAGCUUGUUGGUGGGGUAGGGGCUUACCAAGGCUUUGACGGGUAGCCGGCCUGAGAGGGUGACCGGCCACAUUGGGACUGAGAUACGGCCCAGACUCCUACGGGAGGCAGCAGUGGGAAAUAUUGCACAAUGGGCGGAAGCCUGAUGCAGCAACGCCGCGUGCGGGAUGACGGCCUUCGGGUUGUAAACCGCUUUCGCCUGUGACGAAGCGUGAGUGACGGUAAUGGGUAAAGAAGCACCGGCUAACUACGUG
This 468-nucleotide ribosomal RNA is filed under the name uncultured bacterium. RNAcentral's name for it is "partial 16S ribosomal RNA". It matches the Rfam family "Bacterial small subunit ribosomal RNA", at positions 28 to 507 of the family's 1533-position model. The record is from RNAcentral.